This 252-nucleotide ribosomal RNA is filed under the name uncultured prokaryote. RNAcentral describes it as "partial 16S ribosomal RNA". It matches the Rfam family "Bacterial small subunit ribosomal RNA", at positions 524 to 774 of the family's 1533-position model. The record is from RNAcentral.
UACGUAGGGUGCGAGCGUUGUCCGGAAUUAUUGGGCGUAAAGAGCUCGUAGGCGGUGUGUCACGUCGGCCGUGAAAACCUGCAGCUUAACUGUGGGCGUGCGGUCGAUACGGGCAUCACUGGAGUUCGGCAGGGGAGACUGGAAUUCCUGGUGUAGCGGUGAAAUGCGCAGAUAUCAGGAGGAACACCGGUGGCGAAGGCGGGUCUCUGGGCCGAUACUGACGCUGAGGAGCGAAAGCGUGGGGAGCAAACA